This is a long non-coding RNA of Etheostoma spectabile (orangethroat darter), 253 nucleotides long. RefSeq lists it as uncharacterized. The transcript has 3 exons. The record is from RefSeq and is a predicted model, not a curated record. Lineage: Eukaryota; Metazoa; Chordata; Actinopteri; Perciformes; Percidae.
ACUCAUACAUUUUCAUUAUGGACCUUUUUUCACAGCAGACAUUUUGGCUUGUCAUAGUAGGAAAAGCACAACUGAAAUUCAUAACCUUAACGAUGGUUCAGUUCCAUCAAGUGUCCCGGUGAGCUGUUUCAGUGAGUCAGCAUGCACAAUACCAGGGCCUCUCUAAAGUGGAAUGCAGCCAUCAUAAAUGGUUUUGAAUACACCUGUGCAUUUCCUACUAUGACAGGUAGGAAACACGUCUGCCAGGAAAAAG